AUUGAACGCUGGCGGCAGGCCUAACACAUGCAAGUCGAGCGGAUGACGUGAGCUUGCUCCUGGAUUCAGCGGCGGACGGGUGCGUAUCGCCUAUGAAUCUGCCUGGCAGUGGGUGAAAACGUCCGGAAACGGGCUCUUAUACCGCAUACUUCCUGCGGGUGAAAGUGGGGGCCUUUCUGACCUCAUGCCUUCAAAUCAGUCUAGGUCGGAUUAGCUAGUUCGUGCGUUAAUGGCCUACCAACGCGACGAUCCGUAACUGGUCUGAGAGGAUGAUCAGUCACACUAGAACUGAGACACGGUCUAGACUCAUAAGGGAGGCAGCAGUGGGGAAUUUUGGACAAUGGGCGGAAGCCUGAUCCAGCCAUGCCGCAUGAUCGAAGAAGGUCUUCGGAUUGUAAAGCACUUUGUGUUGGGAGGAAGGGCAGUGAGUUAAUACCAUGCUGUUUUGACGUUACCAACAGAAUAAGCACCGGCUAACUUCGUG
RNAcentral lists this ribosomal RNA (484 nucleotides) under uncultured bacterium. RNAcentral's name for it is "partial 16S ribosomal RNA". It matches the Rfam family "Bacterial small subunit ribosomal RNA", at positions 30 to 507 of the family's 1533-position model. The record is from RNAcentral.